This is a small nucleolar RNA of Rhododendron vialii, 105 nucleotides long. RefSeq annotates it as small nucleolar RNA snoR100. The record is from RefSeq and is a predicted model, not a curated record. Lineage: Eukaryota; Viridiplantae; Streptophyta; Magnoliopsida; Ericales; Ericaceae. The transcript has a single exon.
GAUUGAAGGAAGCAAGGUAAUAAGCACAAAAAAUGAAUCGUGUCUAUAGGCUUGCUUUUAAUGCCUUCCGGUUUUGAUUUUGGGGCAUGGUUCCAUAGCAUAACG